AUUGAACGCUGGCGGCAUGCCUUACACAUGCAAGUCGAACGGCAGCACGGGUGCUUGCCCCUGGUGGCGAGUGGCGAACGGGUGAGUAAUACAUCGGAACAUGUCCUGUAGUGGGGGAUAGCCCGGCGAAAGCCGGAUUAAUACCGCAUACGAUCUACGGAUGACAGCGGGGGACCUUCGGGCCUCGCGCUAUAGGGUUGGCCGAUGGCUGAUUAGCUAGUUGGUGGGGUAAAGGCCUACCAAGGCGACGAUCAGUAGCUGGUCUGAGAGGACGACCAGCCACACUGGGACUGAGACACGGCCCAGACUCCUACGGGAGGCAGCAGUGGGGAAUUUUGGACAAUGGGCGAAAGCCUGAUCCAGCAAUGCCGCGUGUGUGAAGAAGGCCUUCGGGUUGUAAAGCACUUUUGUCCGGAAGGAAAUCCUUGGCCCUAAUACGGUCGGGGGAUGACGGUACCGGAAGAAUAAGCACCGGCUAACUACGUG
This 486-nucleotide ribosomal RNA is filed under the name uncultured bacterium. Its description in RNAcentral is "partial 16S ribosomal RNA". It matches the Rfam family "Bacterial small subunit ribosomal RNA", at positions 30 to 507 of the family's 1533-position model. The record is from RNAcentral.